This 863-nucleotide ribosomal RNA is filed under the name Strombidinopsis acuminata. Its description in RNAcentral is "partial Bacterial large subunit ribosomal RNA". It matches the Rfam family "Bacterial large subunit ribosomal RNA", at positions 474 to 1380 of the family's 2925-position model. The record is from RNAcentral. Lineage: Eukaryota; Ciliophora; Spirotrichea; Choreotrichida; Strombidinopsidae.
CUCUAAAUAAUUAAUAGUGAAAAGUACCGUGAGGGACCGUUAGCGUUCUUGGGCGUAUUCUAAUUUAAUAGCUUAUAAACAACUUUUUAUAAAAAGGUUUACCUUUUGCAUUAUGGUUCGGUCAGUUAAAUUGUAUAGCAAGCUUAAAAAUUAAAUAUUUAAAAAGCGAAAAUAAUUAAAUUUAGAAGUUAUAAAAUUUAAACACGAAACCAACGUGAUCUAUUCAGAUUCAGAUCGAAUAUUUAGUAACAAUAAAUUAGAGGAUCUAACCGGUGUUUGUUGCAAAAAACUCGGGUGAAAUUUGAAUUGGAGUGAAAGGCUAAUCAAACUUGGCGAUAGCUUGUUUUCUGCGAAAUUCUUCUUAGAGAAGCGCUUAAAAUCAAAAUUUUAGGGUAAAGCACUGGUAGAAUUGAGGUUGUUUAUUUAGCAUUACAAAAUUCGUCCAAACUCUGAAUAUAAAAUUAUGUUUUAAGUAGUUAGAUUAUAGGCUAGAAAGUUUAUAAUCAAAAGAGAAACAACUCUAAUUGGUUUUUAAGGCUUUAAAAUAAACUUUAAAAAUAAGAAACUUUUUUAUUGAAACAUUAUUGUUGUAGGCUUAGAAACAGCCACCAUUUUUUGAGGACGUAACAGUCCCUAUGCACAAGUAAAAAAUUGUCUAAAAUAAAAAGAAGUUAAAGUUUUGCCGAAAAACCAAAAUAAAUAUAUUAGUUUAUUGGUAGCAGAACGUCUUGUUUAUUUAUUUUUUUGUGAAAAAAACUCAUAAUAAAUCAAGAUUGAUAAUGCCGAAAUGAGUAACAAAAAAGGUUAUAAAACCUUUCACCUUUUAUUUUAGGUUUUCUUCGUUAUAUUAUAUUUCGUUGAGU